This 523-nucleotide ribosomal RNA is filed under the name Rhizobium sp. P001. RNAcentral's name for it is "16S ribosomal RNA". Lineage: Bacteria; Pseudomonadati; Pseudomonadota; Alphaproteobacteria; Hyphomicrobiales; Rhizobiaceae. The record is from RNAcentral.
CGGCUAACAUUCAUCGUKKACGGCGUGGACUACCAGGGUAUCUAAUCCUGUUUGCUCCCCACGCUUKBKCACCUCAGCGUCAGUMAUGKACCAGUAAGCCGCCUUCGCCACUGGUGUUCCUCCGAAUAUCUACGAAUUUCACCUCUACACUCGGAAUUCCACUUACCUCUUCCAUACUCAAGAUACCCAGUAUCAAAGGCAGUUCCGCAGUUGAGCUGCGGGAUUUCACCCCUGACUUAAAUAUCCGCCUACGUGCGCUUUACGCCCAGUAAUUCCGAACAACGCUAGCCCCCUUCGUAUUACCGCGGCUGCUGGCACGAAGUUAGCCGGGGCUUCUUCUCCGACUACCGUCAUUAUCUUCAUCGGUGAAAGAGCUUUACAACCCUAAGGCCUUCAUCACUCACGCGGCAUGGCUGGAUCAGGCUUGCGCCCAUUGUCCAAUAUUCCCCACUGCUGCCUCCCGUAGAGUUUGGGCCGUGUCUCAGUCCCAAUGUGGCUGAUCAUCCUCUCAGACCAGCUAUGG